GUUUUCAUGAUCAAGCUUUCAGAAAAAUAGAUGUGAACAAUUCACAUUCUAGGACUAGGACACCUCAGUUGCCAUUUUAGUGGCUUCUGCAUUUCCAGCCCUGAAGUAAUAUAUGCCAUCUGCCCUGCAAAAAUACACUACUGAAGUUUAAAUUUGAUUUUUAUAUUGCCUGGGACCCAGCCUUAAUAUAUAAGGAUUUUUCAUAUUCUUGUUAUAUCCAUGAAUUCAGUUUAAAAAAAAAUUGAAUUCGAUCAGCCUAGAAAGGAAACAUAGUAGAAUUCUCACUUCAGUUGAUGUUUCACUUUUUUGCUGCUUCAAUUAAAAUUUUUUUCCCUCAGAGUUCCCAUUGUGGCUCAGUGGGUUAUGAACACAACUAGUAUCCAUGAGGAUGCGGGUUCAAUCCCUGGUCUUGCUCAGUGGGUUAAGGAUUCAGUAUUGCCAUGGGCUGUGGUGUAGGUCACAGAUGCAGCUCAGAUAUGGCAUUGCUGUGGCUAUGGCUGUCAGCUGCAGCUCUGAUUCAACCCCUAGGCUGGGAACUUCCAUAUGCCUCAGGUGCAGCCAUAAAAAGCAAAAAAAAUUUCCCUGCCAUGAAAAAAUGUUUAUUCGCUCUGAUUUAAAAUAAAAGCAGAUUUCAUUAUUUUAAGUAAAUUCUUUUUGAAAUGACUAACAGAUGGCAUCAGGUAAUGUAGACAUGUUUUAACAGAAAUAUUAAGCUCAUAAAGAAUAUUUUAUUUAUUUAUUUAUUCAUUUAUUUUUCUGUUUUGGCCACACCAGCAGCAUAUGGAAGUUCCCACGCCAAGGAUCAAACCCGAGCCUAAGCUGUGACCUAUGUCACAGCUGUGGCAACACUGGGUCCUUCAAUCUGGCAACUCCAUAGAGAAAAGCUGGAUAUUUAACCCACUGCACCACAGUGGGAAGUCCUCAUAAAGAAUAUUUUAAAGUACACAUAGUCCUUUAUUAGGAAAAAUCUGGUUUUUGGGGGCUCAUUAUGUAAGUUUACUUCCUAUAUUGAUCAAUAAUUGGAUCGGGGAGUUUCUGUCAUGGCUCAGUAGUUAACAAAUCCUACUAGGAACCAUGAGAUUCGAUCCCUGGCCUUGCUUAGUGAGUUAAGGAUCUGGUUGCCGUGAGCUAUGGUGUAGGUCGCAGACAUGGCUUGGAUCCCGAGUUGCUCUUGCCCCUAGCCUGGGAACCUCCAUAUGCUGUGGGUGAGACCCUACACACACACACACACACACACACAAAUUGGAUUGGUUCUUAAAAUUUUAAAUGUUUAGACUGUUUUUCUAGUUUAGACUGUUUAUGUCUUCUUGGCUAGAAACUGUGUCUCAGGCAUUUGUAUUUAUUUGGUAUUAGGCAAAGUACCUCACUCAAUAGGUUUCUGAUAACUGCAGACUGAAUGGUGAAAUGGGUGCUGCUUGAUCACUCAUCCUCCCCUGUUUUUAGCUACAGCCCCCAUCCUCUUCCUGAUCUCUAGGAAUCCUAGGUUCUUCCUCUAUUGUCCCUCAUGUGUUCUAGCACCUACCACAACCCAUUCAGGGCUGGCUCAAACUUGCCUCAGAGACUUGAAACUCCCCAAGGGAGACCCUGGUCCUGGCUCUCUGUCCUGGGUCUGAAUCAUCAACUUCCCACCCCACCUCCCCACCCUGGGGAUGUGAUCAGUGCUGAGCUGGUUGGAGCAGCAGCAGCAUCUGAACUGAUCUGAGAAGCUAGGUUCCUUGAACAUCUUUUCUUUUAGUUCUGAAGCUUGUAAAGCUGCUCACUGGAGACCUUGCAUCCUGUGUUAACCAAGGACCACCCCUCCACAUACUGAAAAACAUGCUUCAUUCAAGGGCAACUCAUUACUCAAAAGCAAGUUCUUCACACACUGACAAGGUUAUGAUGGAUCUUGUGUUACAUAAAAAAGUGUCUAUGAGCUCCAGGAAGAACACAUCUGCUUCCAUCUCAGCUCAAAGGGAUUUUACCAUUCAGAUGCUCCUUGUGUUUGGCAAACCAACUCUCAUUCUCAUCACAUAAAAUUAACUUUAAAAGCCUACUUACUUGUGGGAUGGAAAUCCUGUGAAAUCAGAUUGGUAUGAUCAUUAUACAACUACAGAUGUGAUAAAUUCAUUUGAGUAAUUAAAAAAUGAAAAAAAAACCCAUUAAAAAAAAAAAGCCUACUUACCUGAGGAACGUCUUCCAGUUAAAAGUGAGAAUAUACUCAAUACGAUCAUUUAACAUCAAGUGGAGUCACUCAUAAUUUUUCCCAUGUAAUUGUUUUAAAAUUGGACUCAUCUAUUUUUAAAAGUUAAAUAAAUGCAUACUUCUUGACAAAUCAAUAGCUAUUUAUAUUUUCCAAGCUUUCAACCUCUCCUUCUUCGUUAGCCUUUUCACUCCCAUCCAAAAUAGCCCUCCGCUCAUUCUUUGUCCCUCUUUAGUCAAGCUUCUUGUUCACCCAACUCCAUCCUGCCACACUCCCCACCUCCUGCAUUCUGACCUACCUCCCAUUAAAACCUUUUCCUAGAAAGCCAACAAUGGUCUCCCACAUACUAGCCCUUGGGUAAUUUUCAAUAUCCUUUUUUUUUUUUUUUGAAGCAUUUCAAGCUUCUAUUUUAGUUCCUCUUCUCUCCAUAGGCUACAUUUCCUUGUGUAUUUUUGUACCCACAACAUCUGUAUUAGAGUUCUCUGGAGACAUGAAACCAAUAAGGUAGAUAGAUAGAUGAUAGAUAGAUAGAUGGAUAGAUAGAUAGAUAGAUAGAUAGAUAGAUAGAUAGAUAGAUAGGCAGGCAGGCAGGCAGGCAGGCAGACAGAUAUGAGAUGACAUUAUAGGAAUUGACUCACAUGGUUAAGGAAGCUGAGAUGUCCUGUGAACUGCCAUAUGCAAGCAGCAGAGCAGGCAAGAUGGUGUGUAAUUCAAUCUGAAUCUGAAGAACUCAAAACUUGGAGAGGGGGUGUGGAGGGUGGAAAGGGUGUAACUUCUGGUCUGAGUCCAAAAGCGCCAUAACUAGGAGCACCAGUGUCCAAUAGGAGGAGGACAUGGAUGUCUCCAUUCAAUCAGAGAAAGCAAAUUUAUGCUUCUUCUGCCCUUUUAUUCUCUGUAGACUCUCAAAGACUGGGUGAUGCCCAUUCACUUUGGUGAAAGCAAUCCUCUUAGACCUGUUUACUCAGAGUAUGGAUUCGAAUGCUCAUCUCUUCCUGAGACACCCUCACAGACACACCCAGAAAUGUUUUCCCGGUGAAAUGGGAUCCCUCAGCCCAGUUAACCUGAUACAAAAAUAGUGAUCACAUCAAAUAUCACCCGAAUAUACAUGAUUCUCAGAUUUAUGGCUUUGGUCCAGAUCUCUUUUUUGAGUCUCAGAAUCUCAUUUCUAUUUGACUAUUAGACAUCUUUGCUUAAAAUUGCCUAGCAGUGGUGUCCCAAACAAAAUUCGUCAUCUUCUACAAUGAUCCUACCUUGCCCCCAUGAUGCCUCUCCUGAAUUUUCCCUAUAAAUGAUACUUUCUUAAGUUAGCUGCCCAAGCCAGAGAUCAGGGUAUCAUCUCAGAUUAUUGUUUCUCUUUAAAGUCCACUUCUCGUCAAUCCCUAUGUCCUGUUGAUCCUGCCUCUUAAAUUAUUUGCAUCUCAGGCCCCAUCUCUGUUAUUACAGUCACCUAUGUAAUUUGUCCUUUUGUCAUUCCAGGUCACUUUCCCGAUUGUCCCACUUACAGCCUUACCUCAUCAGCCUUCACAAAGCUGCUGAAGUGACAUUCCCAGUGUGAAAAUAUGGUCCCUGCUUCUCUCUACAGCUCAAAAUUCUGCUGAGUCUUCUGGUCGCUUUCAGAUAAAAUCUAGAGCAUUUUGCUUGACAGUUUUCCAUGACUAGGACCCUGUCCAGCCCUGACUCCUACCUGUCUUGCAUCUUCAGCCCUUCUCCCCACUUAACGCUUUACAUUCUGGGAGCAUUGAGGUAUUUAUAGUUUCUGAUAACAUUUGAGGCAUGCUGUUUCUUGCCUGGCAUGCCUUCCACAUUUGUUUGCCCAUUUUUCAAGGCUGAUUUAAACAUGGCCUAUGCAUAGCUUAUCUUUUAUUCCCUUGGAAUCUCAUGAAUCCAAUGUACUUAGACCUGAUCCCAUUAUAACUGGAAGGAUCCUUUCUGUUUUUCUCUGUCUCUCUAUUAUAUUGUAAUCUUCCUGGAGGCAAGGUUAUGUCUUUCCAUCUAUGUAUUUGCAUAAGCAUCUAACACAUAGUAGGAACUCAAACAUAUCUGUUAAAUCAUUGAAUAAUUGAAUGAAUAAAUGAAUGAAAUUACUGAAACAGCCAAGGACUUUGAAAUUAUGUAAUGCCAAAUUUUCCCCAUUUCAACUUUUUAUCUUGACUCUGUGCAGCUACAUCAUUAAUUAAAUUCUGGGUGCAUGACAAGCCCUAUAGAGCAUGAUCAUAUUUCUAAGAUAAAAAUAAAAUAUUUGCAUGUAAAUGAAAUAAUAUACAGCUUCAGAGAAAUGUUAUCAUUCAGUGCUCCAAAUAAACUCCAUUACCUGUAGGGAAAUAAAUGAAAAUGAAUCCAUUGCAGUAAUGGGUUUUUAGGCCAAUUUUCCAAGCAAGAGCUCAUUUCUUGCUGAAAGUAAAUAUGCAUCUCGAGUUUAUGAAAUCAGCUAUUGCUUAUGUGUACACAUGCACUGAGGAUGAAUUCACAUCUUGUUCAGGAUCCAUGAGGUUUAAAACGAGCCCUGAGUGUGAGCACUGCAUCUGUAGUUUCCACAAAUUCUGUUCGUUCACAUUAACAAGCAUGUCCUGAAGUUUCUAGAUAAUUUGAGUUAUGAAGGCACCUCACAUUUGAAGCAUUUGUUCUUGUCUCUAAAGAGAAAGCUACUUCUUAUCUUUAGAAAUUGAAGU
RNAcentral lists this long non-coding RNA (4848 nucleotides) under Sus scrofa (pig). Its description in RNAcentral is "lncRNA (ENSSSCG00060065962.1)". The record is from RNAcentral. Lineage: Eukaryota; Metazoa; Chordata; Mammalia; Artiodactyla; Suidae.